GACGAGCCGAGCGAACGUUAUUCGGAAUCACUGGGCUUAAAGGGUGCGUAGGCGGGCUGUCAAGUCUGGGGUGAAAUCCGGCAGCUUAACUGUCGAACUGCCUUAGAUACUGAUGGCCUCGAGGAAGGUAGGGGCAUGCGGAACUGUAGGUGGAGCGGUGAAAUGCGUUGAUAUCUACAGGAACUCCGGUGGCGAAAGCGGCGUGCUGGACCUUUUCUGACGCUGAGGCACGAAAGCUAGGGGAGCAAACAGG
This 253-nucleotide ribosomal RNA is filed under the name uncultured bacterium. RNAcentral describes it as "partial 16S ribosomal RNA". It matches the Rfam family "Bacterial small subunit ribosomal RNA", at positions 524 to 776 of the family's 1533-position model. The record is from RNAcentral.